This 305-nucleotide ribosomal RNA is filed under the name uncultured bacterium. RNAcentral's name for it is "bacterial SSU rRNA". It matches the Rfam family "Bacterial small subunit ribosomal RNA", at positions 334 to 653 of the family's 1533-position model. The record is from RNAcentral.
AAUGCCUACGGGAGGCAGCAGUGGGGAAUAUUGGGCAAUGGGCGCAAGCCUGACCCAGCAACGCCGCGUGAAGGAAGAAGGCUUUCGGGUUGUAAACUUCUUUUGUCAGGGACGAAGCAAGUGACGGUACCUGACGAAUAAGCCACGGCUAACUACGUGCCAGCAGCCGCGGUAAUACGUAGGUGGCAAGCGUUAUCCGGAUUUACUGGGUGUAAAGGGCGUGUAGGCGGGGAAGCAAGUCAGAUGUGAAAUACCGGGGCCCAACCCCGGGGCUGCAUUGGGAACUGCCAGGCUGGAGUGCCGGG